CACCCAGGCCUCUUUUUCCUCUCCAGCACCAGGCCUCUGCUCAGCAGCCUCUCUGUGCUGGAGACGGGACCUAGGACCCAGAUACUCCAGCUGCAAACAAGUUCCUAGAAAGUCCAGUGAAAUGGAUAUCAUUCCUUUUCUGGCAGGAUGGGGAAGGCGCUACCUCUGGGACUGCUCAGCAAGGAAGACUGGAGACUUAUGCUGGGGAGAAAAUGAAUAGAACCAGCCCCUUCUCUUAUGCUCACAAUUCCACACCUUCAGCCACCCCCUAUUCUUUAGUCCCUCUGAGCUGAACGAAUGAUUCCCAGCCAAGAGAUCAGGCCCUAUAGCUUUGCCUAUUCCAGAACAUCAUAGAAAUAGAAUCAUACGGGAUGCAGCCUUGAACCUGGCUUCUUUUGUUUGGCAUAACAUGAUGCUUUUGAGAUUCAUCCCGGUUGUGGCACCUGUCAAUAGCUGACUCCAUGUUAUUGCUGAGUUGUAUUCCAACGUCACAGUUGGUUUCUCAUUCACACUGAUUAUCCAGUUGUUUCCAGUGUUUGAUGAUUAUAAAUAAAGCUACCAUAACAUUUGUGCAGAAGUUUUUGUGUAAAAAUAUCUUUUCAUUUCUCUUGGCUGGGAUUGUUGGGUCACAUGACAAAUCCAUGUUCAGUUUUGUAAGAAAUGGUCAAA
This is a long non-coding RNA of Phyllostomus discolor (pale spear-nosed bat), 669 nucleotides long. RefSeq lists it as uncharacterized. The transcript is spliced from 3 exons. NCBI's taxonomy places the organism in Eukaryota, Metazoa, Chordata, Mammalia, Chiroptera, Phyllostomidae. The record is from RefSeq and is a predicted model, not a curated record.